This 440-nucleotide ribosomal RNA is filed under the name uncultured bacterium. Its description in RNAcentral is "partial 16S ribosomal RNA". It matches the Rfam family "Bacterial small subunit ribosomal RNA", at positions 338 to 795 of the family's 1533-position model. The record is from RNAcentral.
CCUACGGGCGGCAGCAGUGGGGAAUAUUGCACAAUGGGGGAAACCCUGAUGCAGCGACGCCGCGUGAGUGAGGAAGUAUUUCGGUAUGUAAAGCUCCAUCAGCAGGGAAGAAAAUGACGGUACGUGACUACGAAGCCCCGGCUAACUACGUGCCAGCAGCCGCGGUAAUACGUUGGGGGCAAGCGUUAUCCGGAUUUAAUGGGUGUAAAGCGCUCGUAGGCGGUAUGUCAAGUCAAGGGUGAAAUCGCCGCGGUUAACGUGGGAACUGCCUGUGAAACUGGCAAUCUGGAGUGUGUGAGAGGAUAGUGGAAUUCCAGGUGUAGGGGUGAAAUCCGUAGAUAUCUGGAGGAACAUCAGUGGCGAAGGCGACUAUCUGGCACAUAACUGACGCUGAGGAGCGAAAGCGUGGGUAGCAAACAGGAUUAGAUACCCUUGUAGUC